AAUAAAUGAAAAAAUUUUUAUUGAGUAUUACUUUAUACAGGCAAAUUAAAAGUGAAUCUAUAUUAAGCUGACUAUUCCACAAUAAAAACCUAUGCAAUGGGAAUAAUCAAAGCUGUCUACACAAUACUAAUGUGUUCAAUAAAUUAUCCAGAUGUUUUUCUGCAAAUAUUUGGAUUACCUGAUUAGCUGAUUCUUCAACAAAAGUUAAAUUUUAGCUUUAAUAUGGUAGCAGCAGAAUGCUACUUAAAUUUAGAAGAAAAACAUAAGAAUAAAAACCCUGAAUAGCAUAGCCAAAUCUUCCAAGAAAUAAGUUCACCAAAAAAGUAACAUACACCUAUUUGGUAUCCAGAGGAGGAAACAAAACAAAACACAGGCACUUAAUCAACAUUCACCAAGUGAUCAUCACUAACAUUCUAUUAUUACCAGAGCAACUGUCAAUAUGUGAACUGUAGAUCAGAACAGACUUACAUAUCUAAAAACAAACCAGUAAUCAAUAAUAUAUACAGAAAUACUAACUUGAAGUCACAUUUAAAUACCAUCAAGUUUGGUGUAUCUGAUAUAGACUGAAUUCAUUUCAUCACUGCUAUAAAUUUCUUAAAAGUGUUCUUUUCCUAAUGUAACAUUAUCUUUAAAAAAUGGCAAGAUAUUUCCCAAUAUGCAUCAGUUCUUUCACUCCACCAUUCAGUAAAUGUUGCAGCACAUUAAACAGAACCUGUUAACUAGAUCUAAAAACAAUGGCUGCAUAAUUAACACAAAGAAGUACUUUUGAGUAAACUAUUCAGAUUAGACAGGCUAAUGCUAACUAAGACUGCAUUUUCUGCUACUGACAUGCACUAUAUAGAUCAUACACUAAGAUGGAAGGUUGGUCCAUGUCCAUUUAUUUAAAGAUUCUGUAACACCUAUAAUAGUAUUUAAUACAGCUCCCACAAACAAUAUUCCUCUCACAUAGAUGUAGUUAUUUUUAGUGGGAAUAAGGAUAUGACACAUGCUACGAGAUUCUAGCUAAGAAAAUAAAAACAAUAUGGGCUCAGGUUUUCUUAGCAAGUUUUUGAACUGGGAAACAACCAACUUCCAUAUAUCCAGGAGAAACUUAGCAUGGGGCAAGGUGCCUUAGUUGAUGUGCCUGAUAAGCAAACUGUUAGUUGUCUCUUAGUAUUAUGUUUUCAGCUUAAUGUAACAACAAAAGAAAGGUGUCACACUACUUCUCAGAUAGUAACAAUUGCAAUCUUAGAUUGUAAUUGGGAUUACAAUUACAAUCCCAUGGGAUAUCCUUUAUUAAUGACAGCACAGUUCCAAUGCAAAAGUCAAGCUUAAUGGUUACAUAUCAGGAUAGGUUCAGACCCAAUAUGACCAUGUUUAGCACUAACUUUUAACAUGUUAAAGUUCUGAUUCCUGAAUGUUUUUCUCACUUAAUAUAUUCCCUCCAAUGACAAGUUGUUGUGUUUGGCUUCUUAUGCUGAAAAUACAUGCCUGAAUCCUAUAACAAGUUAUUAACAGUAUCAUGAAUAGUUAUUAAAUAAAUGCCAGCACUGCAUGGAACUUACUGUCACCAACUCAGAACCAUAAAACUACACACAUAUGCACAAAAAAAAAAAUCCCAGAGACCUAUCAUUGUACAUAUAAAUACUGUCCAGGGUAUCAGAUCAAUUAUCAAAUCCAAGGUCUCUGCUGUUUUGUCUUAUGGUGUUGAAUAUAUGAAUGCUUCUCUAUUACACUGACUUUUUUGUAUUAUUUUCAAGAAAUUAUUAACUGGAUUCAAAAUCUUACACUUUUAUUUCUAAUUAUAAAAUCCAGAUUAAUCCAGAAAACACAAACCACAUGUAACCGAGGUAGGUUUUUCACCUUAAGAAUACAUUGAUUCUACCACAAUUUAAAAUUUUAAACAUUGAAGAAAAAAAAAAAAGACUACAUUGCUCCAUAUACCUGCCUC
This is a long non-coding RNA of Macaca fascicularis (crab-eating macaque), 1930 nucleotides long. The record is from Ensembl. Lineage: Eukaryota; Metazoa; Chordata; Mammalia; Primates; Cercopithecidae.